GGGGUUGUAGCUCACCUGGGAGAGCGCCCGCCUUGCAAGCGGGAGGUAGCCGGUUCGAGCCCGGCCGGCUCCACCA
This 76-nucleotide transfer RNA is filed under the name Paractinoplanes ferrugineus. RNAcentral describes it as "Actinoplanes ferrugineus tRNA-Ala". It matches the Rfam family "tRNA". Rfam says of the family: Transfer RNA (tRNA) molecules are approximately 80 nucleotides in length. Their secondary structure includes four short double-helical elements and three loops (D, anti-codon, and T loops). Lineage: Bacteria; Bacillati; Actinomycetota; Actinomycetes; Micromonosporales; Micromonosporaceae. The record is from RNAcentral.